UUGAUAGAAACCAAAAAGAGGUAUAUCACUGUUAAUGAUACUAUUGAGAUUAAUCUCCUAUCAA
Molecule: transfer RNA, 64 nt
Filed under: Troglocarcinus corallicola
Lineage: Eukaryota; Metazoa; Arthropoda; Malacostraca; Decapoda; Cryptochiridae
Description: tRNA-Asn
Source: RNAcentral